GUGUCAGCAGCCGCGGUAAUACAGAGGUCUCAAGCGUUGUUCGGAUUCAUUGGGCGUAAAGGGUGCGUAGGCGGUAAGCUAAGUUUGGUGUGAAAUCCUGGGGCUCAACCCCAGAAUUGCACUGAAUACUGGUUUGCUAGAGGACUGGAGAGGAGAUUGGAAUUCACGGUGUAGCAGUGAAAUGCGUAGAUAUCGUGAGGAAGACCAGUGGCGAAGGCGAAUCUCUGGACAGUUCCUGACGCUGAGGCACGAAGGCUAGGGGAGCAAACGGGAUUAGAUACCCCCGUAGUCC
This 292-nucleotide ribosomal RNA is filed under the name uncultured bacterium. Its description in RNAcentral is "partial 16S ribosomal RNA". It matches the Rfam family "Bacterial small subunit ribosomal RNA", at positions 505 to 796 of the family's 1533-position model. The record is from RNAcentral.